This 174-nucleotide microRNA precursor is filed under the name Daucus carota subsp. sativus. Its description in RNAcentral is "sRNA DCAR_mi00125". Lineage: Eukaryota; Viridiplantae; Streptophyta; Magnoliopsida; Apiales; Apiaceae. The record is from RNAcentral.
UUUCAAUUACCUAUAACUUUCGUUCAUGUUGUCUCCUCAUAUUAUGUUUUGAAAUAUUUUUGAAAUAAUAAAAUUGAUUUACAACUCAUGUUUUUAGUUUAAAAUUCAAUUUUUCAAAAAUAUUUCGAAACAUGAUAUGAGGAAACAACAUGAACGAAAGUUAUAGACGAUUGA